Molecule: non-coding RNA, 542 nt
Organism: Chlorocebus sabaeus (green monkey)
Lineage: Eukaryota; Metazoa; Chordata; Mammalia; Primates; Cercopithecidae
Source: RefSeq, a predicted model, not a curated record
AAGAAGUGCCUUUCACCUCCCACCAUGAUUCUGAGGCCUCCUCAGCCAUGUGGAACUUUUUUCUUUUGCCGCUGCCAUGUAAGAAGUGUCUUUCACCUCCUGCCAUGAUUAUGAGAUCUCCCCAGCUGUGUGGAACUGUUAAGUGCAGUUAAACCUCUUUUUCUUCGUGGUUCCAGGUUGUUUUCAUUCGUGGCGGGAUCACACCAGCAAGAAGGAUUUUAAAGGACUACUCCUCGGGGCCGUCCUACACUGAAACUGCCUGAGUGCUGUUGUCUCUGUGCUUUCAGAAAAUCACGGUGGGCACAAAAUUUUAGACUAAGACUUUGAUCACACGCGAGUUACUGUUCACGAAUCCAGGGCCAGCCUGGUGACUGUCUUCCUUUAAAGCACCUGGCUAGGUACCUAAAAUGUUCCAUUAAAAAAAAAAAUUCAAUAACUUCAUCAGAACAGGCCUUGAUAUAGACAGAUCUCCAUUUUUUUGGUUGGUUGAGUGAGUUUUUGCUCUGCAGGCUCAAUUCUUUAGAAUUUAGUUCUGAAAUCAC